Molecule: transfer RNA, 73 nt
Filed under: Rhodopirellula sp. TMED11
Lineage: Bacteria; Pseudomonadati; Planctomycetota; Planctomycetia; Pirellulales; Pirellulaceae
Also listed under: 1 other name
Description: tRNA-Ala
Rfam family: tRNA
About the family: Transfer RNA (tRNA) molecules are approximately 80 nucleotides in length.
Source: RNAcentral
GGGGGUAUAGCUCAGCUGGGAGAGCGUUACACUGGCAGUGUAAAGGUCGUCGGUUCAAGUCCGUCUACCUCCA